GGGGCUUGUUUCACUCGGUGUGUUUGGUGAGGCAGAUGCUUUCACUCCCCCCCUCCCUCCUUUCUUAGAGGAGGACGGGGCGGAUGAAAAGCGGAGGGAGGACGGAGCUGGAAGCUGAAACUGAGGAUGUAAAAACCCGGCUUCAUCUGACUCCCUCUCUUUCAGAGGACCACCCCCUCCCCUAUCCUCUCUCCUCUCUCCAUCUGACUGCGCCCAACUUCUCUCCCUCCAUCCUGCCGUACAGCUACACGGACUGCACCCAGCACGCACAAAACCUGAUUUUGAAGGGUUCGGGAUAUUUGCUUGACUCUUGUACUCUUUAUGGGUCUGGACUAUUUGUACUUUAAAGAGUGUUCUCUGGAAAGAGAAAGAGAGAGAGAGAGAGAAAUACCGCCUAUUCAGCUCGUGUGCAGAAGAAGGACGAUCCGACCUCCGCAUCCCCCGCAACAUCCCUCCGCUUCCUCCGCAUCCUCAGCAUCCCAUCCCUGAGAGGACCUCCAGAGAAGAGGACCGCGGACCAAGUCGCAAAUAAAGCCGGUUUACAUCGUUCUGUCACCGGCCCCACAGAGCCUCAAGAGUCGGUGUGUUUAAUGGAGGUCUGGGCUGCCUUUUUAUUUAUUUAUUUUUAAACAUCAAACAAUAAGAACGUGCUCGGUAAUGGCAAAAGAAAUAGAUACCUGCGCCAUUUAUCCUGCACCCUGCCGCUGAAAGGCCUCCAGAAAUCCUUCAGAUGACACUUUUUGUGGAACUUCUGCCAAAUUAAGCCAAUGAAAUGACAAUACCAGUAGAGAUUACAUUACUUCAAGCGUGCUAGAAGCCAAAAGAGGAGAUUGAAGCGAUAAAUAUUCAACUGAUUUAGAUGGAUUUUGACAUGACUUUUAGUCACAGGGCUAAAAUCUGCAAACUGUCCAUAUACACAGCGGAUAAACUGACUGUCACUGAACCAUUUCUAACACUGCAUCCAUUUACAUCUCAGGGAAAAGAAAGAUAUGCACACACAGUCACAUUUAUGCCUAUGCUUGGACCACUACAGGGUCCUCCUGAGCUGCUUCUCUGUGUGUGGACUGCAGGAGGAGACAAAGCACUGCAGAGGAGCAGAGCUGAGUGAAAAAACCUUGCCGUUAUUGUAACGAACCACUCUUUUGCUUUAACAAUAAUGUAUUAUAACGCUGUCAAUAGAUUGCAUUCACAAUAUCCAGUACAAUCAGCACCAAUAUCAUCAUAAAUGUUGCUGUCAGUGUAAUUUGAUCAGCUGUAUUCAAUUUGUAAGGCAGUUUUAGCAGCAUGCGGAGGCAUUAUAAAUAAUCAGUGCAGUCAUAGUCAAUAUAACCCAACGGUGACAAUAAAGCGUUCACUAUAUUGGUGUUUAAUAAAUUUAUAGCCCACUGAGUGUCAUGGGAGAUUUACAAGCUCAAUAUAUUGAAAUUUGUUUAUCUGUUUAUAGAAAUACAUUAAAGAGGAACCCCCUCUGCGCUUGAUAACUUGGCAGCAAUUUUAUUUUCUGGAGUGCUGCUGUUGCAGAAAAACUACUGAGACAGAUAAGGAGGGGAAUAAAGAGGAUGUGAUUCAGUCAAGCUGGACAGAGAAAGCUCUAGUAGGGUAAAGUAGGACAGAGCAGUGCUGGGGGAAAAAAAAAAAAAGAAAAACAGUGGUAAAAAUGGACUCACUGGACGUUAAAGCGAGGUGCACAAGACCACAGCUGCAUUGAAAAAAAAGAAGCAAUAAAUGCAUGAAAACUGUACAGAAUCACGAUGUUGUGAGUCAGAUGAGAACAAAGGGGAAUAAGAGAAAUAUGGGUUGUCACUCCUCGUGUUCACAGCGGACCUUGAUUUAAAUGUCCAUACAAUUAAGGCACGCGGUGAAUGCCAAGAGAGCGACCAAAUAUCAGCCAUCACAAACACUUAUUUGAGUGUUCACGUCAUGCAAAGACGUUAAGAUGCAUUUCCAGUUUCUCUAACAUGGCUGUCUUGACGGUAGACUGGGUAAGAUGUUGCAGUACCACCACAGACCACUAGUGCACAUAUAUGAUGCUUUUUUUUAUAUAAGACUUUCUUAAAACGUGUUCUUUUAUUAUUUUUAAUUAAAAAUUAUUAGAUAUAAGAUUGUUCUCAUAUUUUUCUUUCAUGCCGUUACAACCCUACCCUUAAUUAAGACUUAACUAUGACAGCGCCUUCUAGUGUCCUAAUUACAUGAGCUUAUAUUUAGUGAGUGUAGUAUUAUAGCGCCAGUAUUAGGAGGAGGUCGGGGUGGAUGGAUAGGUCUAGGAUUCUGCUGUGUGAUUAUCUUAUUUAAACCAAAAAUGUAGAAUUUAUUUUAACCCUUAUGUUCUUCUAAACCCGAAUCAAAAGAUUUGAAAUAAUAGAGUGUUUUUUGCCUUUAAUCUCAGUUGAAAAUCACUGAAACUGGAGUAGAAAUUUGGUUAGAGAGUAAUAUGAAUUCAAUUUCCUGUCAAAUUAAAGGAUUAAAUACAGUUUAGCAUAAAGUGCUAUCAUUUCCAGGCUCUUGAAAGUGUCUAAUGCCACAUAUUGCAAAUGUUUUCAAAAGUCAUGCUUGUAGCUAGCUGAGUUGUGCCAAUUGGGGUUAAAUAUCAGCAUGCUCACAUGUGCCAAAUUUGGAGAAGUAUAUGUGCAGAUUUGGCCCAGUUUAGACUGAGAAAUGACAUUUAUUUCUACUGGCUGGCAGAAUUAGGAACAUUUCAACCAUGGGGUGCUGCAGGAAGGGACUAAUAUUUUGUAACUGAAUGCCAACCACCAGUGAGCAUUCAAAGAAUCAGUAUAUACAGAGAUUACUCCAGAGAUUGUGCCCAAUUAAAUGCUCACUAAUAAUGAACUUCAAGAUAAAACUAGUCAGUAGUUUUAUUUACAAAGGCCUAAAUCCAACCAGAUCAUUUCUAUCCUCACCUUCGGGUAAAAGAAAAAUCCUCAAAAACUAAUUAAAUGAACGAGAUAACGCUGAAAGACACGAGAUAAACACUUAAAAAUGUCUCGUUAACAUCAGCAGAACACAUCAGUUCAUUCUGCUUUCAUUACCAUCGCUGCUCUGUUGCGUCUCGCUUACAUCAGCCUCCUAAAUCCUAAGAAAUCCACUAUAAUUUGUAGUCUUUGAGACUUUGAAAGCUGUCUGACAUGCAGGUCUAGUUAAUGUCCUCACUGAAAGAUCUGAUUAAUUAUGUUCUAAAAUGAGAUUAGAUUUAAAUGAGAUUGGAAGCACUGAUUUGAAAAAAAUGGAAAAGGGUGUGAGCAGCCGGGUUAAUACCCACCACUAAUUAAUGCCCUGUGUUUACGGAUUAAAAUUCAAAAUGGAAUUAAAAGUAUGGACAAAGCGGGUCUGCUGAAGGCUUUAAUAAUGUAUGCUUCACUCACAUGCAUGUCUAUAACGUGUAACAUGUAAUAUUAAUAGGAACCAAGUGCAGCUACGCUGUUCCUGUGCUUCCUGUUAAUUUCCUGUCAGCCUGUAUGAAUCCACCCUGGCAUGCUUUGCUUCAGUGCUGCAGGAUUGUGAUUAAAGUAACUGUGUUUCACAUGGGUCUCAUUUGUUAUGGUUCUGACAUGCAGACAAGGCCAACAAAUACUAUACAAGAGGAUAAAGCCUUCUGAUAUUGGAUGGAAAACAGCAGCAGAGCAACUGCAAGUAAUGCAAAUAGGAAGAGAUUUUAGGCUUAAAAUCUUUCAUAGAAAAAGGAUAUUUUUGGACUUCAGAGCAAAAGACUCCCAGCGCCUCCAGGCUUUGUUCCCAGUAUAAUUAAUGCUUGCUUGUAUAAUUAUUGCUGUCCAAUAAGCACUUUUUGCUCUGUGUGAAAUAAGAGAAUACAUUAUACGGGUGUAGGUGAAGAUUUUCUGAUCCACAGUAGAGACAAGGAUAGCAGCAGGACAGGAAGUCUCCCGAGUUAUCACUUACUAAUGCAUUUUCCCCAAACACAGACUGUAUCGAUCAAGGAUGUAUAGUUCCUCUGCUGGGAAUGGAGGUCGUACACUGGAUAUUUACUGUAUGCUGUUCUGAACAUGCACAGACAGUGAAUUUAAUCACUCUGUUGCAUCUAAAUGUGUUUUCUUCGGACUGUGAAUUUUGAAAAUAAAGUAUUCUUUAGCUGAUUUCAGCUUGUUAAAUUAUAUAAAGAACCAUGUUUUUUGUUUUUUUACUGUACCAUAAUUUGCUUAACUCUGGGCUUUUAUUAGAUGAGCUUAAAUAUCUGUAAAAAACAAACAAACAAACAAAUAAAACCUUCUCCUUCUUCAGAAACUGCCAUGUAUGUGGGAAAAUAUGGACGCAUGGAUUGUGAGUGUUAUAUGGGCACAGAUUAGAUCUUGGGUUUGACAGCUGAAAGAUGAAACAGAUGAUUAAUGUACACGCACUGCAGAAAAAGACACCAUGAUUGCAUUACAGUUUAUCCUCUGGCUGAAUUCUUUUUAUCCCAGUAUUUUUUUUUCUUAUUUGAUUAAAUAAAAGUAACCAAAUCAAUGUGCUGCAGUUUCCCUCCACACUUAUUUACAGCUUUUGCACUUUUCUGCUAUAGACAUGUUUUAUUUGUUGGCUGCGGUAUAAUUUUUCAAGAUUUAUAUACUCGGAUCAACUGUUCAAGCACUGUGGUUAAAUAAUUUCAAAGCAGUCAGUGUUACGUGUCUGUGUGUGCUGUUUGUCUAUUGUAUGUUCUCAGGGACAUAAUGAUACCCCAGAGUGUCUUAUAAAGAUGCUAAACAAUAAAAUAAAAUUUUAAAAAUGA
Oreochromis niloticus (Nile tilapia) is the source of this 4720-nucleotide long non-coding RNA. RefSeq lists it as uncharacterized. The record is from RefSeq and is a predicted model, not a curated record. The transcript has 2 exons. NCBI's taxonomy places the organism in Eukaryota, Metazoa, Chordata, Actinopteri, Cichliformes, Cichlidae.